RNAcentral lists this transfer RNA (74 nucleotides) under Planctomycetaceae bacterium. RNAcentral describes it as "tRNA-Arg". It matches the Rfam family "tRNA". From Rfam's summary of the family: Transfer RNA (tRNA) molecules are approximately 80 nucleotides in length. Their secondary structure includes four short double-helical elements and three loops (D, anti-codon, and T loops). Further hydrogen bonds mediate the characteristic L-shaped molecular structure. tRNAs have two regions of fundamental functional importance: the anti-codon, which is responsible for specific mRNA codon recognition, and the 3' end, to which the tRNAs corresponding amino acid is attached (by aminoacyl-tRNA synthetases). tRNAs cope with the degeneracy of the genetic code in two manners: having more than one tRNA (with a specific anti-codon) for a particular amino acid; and 'wobble' base-pairing, i.e. permitting non-standard base-pairing at the 3rd anti-codon position. The record is from RNAcentral. RNAcentral also lists the same sequence under 1 other name. Lineage: Bacteria; Pseudomonadati; Planctomycetota; Planctomycetia; Planctomycetales; Planctomycetaceae.
GGUGCCAUAGCUCAGUUGGAUAGAGCAACGGAUUUCUAAUCCGUUGGUCGGGGGUUCGAGUCCCUCUGGCACUA